UACGUAGGGUGCAAGCGUUGUCCGGAAUUACUGGGCGUAAAGAGCUCGUAGGUGGUUUGUCGCGUCGUUUGUGUAAGUCCACGGCUUAACUGUGGGAUGGCAGGCGAUACGGGCAUAACUUGAGUGCUGUAGGGGAGACUGGAAUUCCUGGUGUAGCGGUGAAAUGCGCAGAUAUCAGGAGGAACACCGAUGGCGAAGGCAGGUCUCUGGGCAGUAACUGACGCUGAGGAGCGAAAGCAUGGGUAGCGAACAGG
This 254-nucleotide ribosomal RNA is filed under the name uncultured bacterium. Its description in RNAcentral is "partial 16S ribosomal RNA". It matches the Rfam family "Bacterial small subunit ribosomal RNA", at positions 524 to 776 of the family's 1533-position model. The record is from RNAcentral.